UAAGUAGGCGGUGGAAAAUGAACCAAAUGGGAUUCCUUAAGUAAUUGCGAAUGAACAAGGAAAUGCUCAGCUUGAAAAAUGGGGCCUUCGGCUUUGAAUUGUAAUUUUGAAAUGUAUUGCCAAUGGAGGCGCAGGUGCAAGCCUAUUGAAAGAAAGCGUCAAUGAGGGUGAGAUUCCUUUUUGUCAUUUGCAGUCCUCCGUGCACGGUAUAUAUUUGACGAGUCACACUCCUCGGCAUUGGAAUGCAAAGUGGGUGGUAAAUUCCAUGUAAAGGUAAAUAUAUUAUUGAGACUGAUAGCAAACAAGUACCAUGAGGGAAAUAUGAAAAGGACUUUGAAAAGAGAAUUAAAAGAGUCUGCAUUUGCUGAACAGAAAGCAAACAGAAUUGAUCUUGCCUGGUGAGAUUGUUGCGUCUACUUCUGCAUUUCUAUGUUGGAUGUGGGUGCGAUGGUUCUUGCCUUGAAUGUCAGCUUCUUUUUCUGCAAAUCAUUACCCUUGCACAUGAAUGGUAAUUUGCCUGCGGGUAUUGGAAUGCAUGUGUUUGCCAUGAUUUGUGAUUUGAUACAUGUGUCUGGUGGUACUUGUGUGUGUUCCUUUGUCAAAGGGGAAGGUUUGCUUCCUUGAGCACCACAAGCCCUUGCAC
RNAcentral lists this ribosomal RNA (643 nucleotides) under Alexandrium tamutum. RNAcentral describes it as "LSU rRNA". It matches the Rfam family "Eukaryotic large subunit ribosomal RNA", at positions 43 to 612 of the family's 3401-position model. Lineage: Eukaryota; Dinophyceae; Gonyaulacales; Pyrocystaceae. The record is from RNAcentral.